This 542-nucleotide ribosomal RNA is filed under the name fungal sp. SNB-GTC2503. RNAcentral's name for it is "LSU rRNA". The stretch from base 208 to 361 matches the Rfam family "5.8S ribosomal RNA". The record is from RNAcentral. Lineage: Eukaryota; Fungi.
UUCCGUAGGGUGAACCUGCGGAGGGAUCAUUGCUGGAACGCGCUUCGGCGCACCCAGAAACCCUUUGUGAACUUAUACCUAUUUGUUGCCUCGGCGCAGGCCGGCCUCUUCACUGAGGCCCCCUGGAAACAGGGAGCAGCCCGCCGGCGGCCAACUAAACUCUUGUUUCUUUAGUGAAUCUCUGAGUAAAAAACAUAAAUGAAUCAAAACUUUCAACAACGGAUCUCUUGGUUCUGGCAUCGAUGAAGAACGCAGCGAAAUGCGAUAAGUAAUGUGAAUUGCAGAAUUCAGUGAAUCAUCGAAUCUUUGAACGCACAUUGCGCCCUCUGGUAUUCCGGAGGGCAUGCCUGUUCGAGCGUCAUUUCAACCCUCAAGCCUGGCUUGGUGAUGGGGCACUGCCUUCUAACGAGGGCAGGCCCUGAAAUCUAGUGGCGAGCUCGCUAGGACCCCGAGCGUAGUAGUUAUAUCUCGUUCUGGAAGGCCCUGGCGGUGCCCUGCCGUUAAACCCCCAACUUCUGAAAAUUUGACCUCGGAUCAGGUAG